GCCAUGCUGGCUGCGCCGCUCAGGCUGCUCCGCCGCUGCCGCCGCCUGCCUGGCCCGGCCCCGGCCCCGGCCCCGGCAGCGCCGCGCCCCGCGCCCCGCAGGACUGUGUUCCUGAGAGGGGGCGUAGCCAUGGCCAGUGGAGGGAAGGGUCGCCGGCUCAGCAGUCCUCGUUAUACCAACCGUCUGAUUAACGAAAAGUCUCCCUACCUCCUUCAGCAUGCCCACAACCCCGUGGAUUGGUACCCGUGGGGCCAGGAGGCCUUUGAUAAAGCCAAAAAAGAAAACAAACUGAUCUUUCUGUCAGUCGGCUAUUCCACCUGCCACUGGUGCCACGUGAUGGAGGAGGAGUCCUUCAAGAACAAGGAGAUUGGCCGGAUUCUCAAUGAGAACUUUGUCUGCAUAAAAGUGGAUCGGGAGGAGCGGCCCGAUGUGGAUAAAGUCUACAUGACCUUCGUGCAGGCAACCAGCAGUGGAGGGGGCUGGCCGAUGAGCGUGUGGCUGACUCCCGAUCUCAAACCCUUUGUAGGCGGGACGUAUUUUCCCCCUGAAGAUGGAAUUUACCGAGUCGGCUUUAAGACUGUGCUGCUGCGAAUUGUUGAUCAGUGGAAGCGAAACCAAGAGGCCCUUUUGGAGAGCAGCCAGAGGAUCACAGAUGCACUGCUCACAAGGGCUGAGGUUGGCAUCAGGGGCAAGGAGUCGCCCCCACCUUCAUCUGAGGUGAUGACCCGAUGCUUCCAGCAGCUGUCCGAGUCGUACGACGAGGAAUAUGGCGGCUUUUCAGAGUUUCCCAAGUUCCCCACACCAGUCAAUUUGAACUUCCUCUUCACAUACUGGGCCCUGCACCGGACCUCUCCUGAUGGUGCACGGGCCUUGCAGAUGGCUCUGCACACCCUCAAGAUGAUGGCCUAUGGUGGGAUUCAUGAUCACAUUGCCCAGGGAUUCCACCGCUACUCCACUGACCAGAGGUGGCACGUUCCUCACUUUGAGAAGAUGCUGUACGACCAGGGGCAGCUGGCAGCAGCAUAUGCCAAGGCAUUUCAGAUUUCUGGCGAUGAAUUCUUUGCAGAUGUUGCCGCCGACAUCCUGCUCUAUGUUUCCCGGGAUUUGAGUGACAGGGCCGGAGGGUUCUACAGUGCAGAGGACGCGGAUUCCUAUCCCACAGCCAAGUCCAAAGUGAAGCAGGAAGGGGCUUUCUGCGUGUGGACGGCAGAGGAAAUCCGGGCCCUCCUUCCGGACCCUUUGGAGGGGGACUCAGACAGGAAGACGCUGGCAGACAUCUUCAUGCAUCACUAUGGGGUGAAGGAGGGCGGGAAUGUAAGCCCCAUGAAGGACCCAUACAAUGAGCUGAAAGGCAAGAACAUCCUGAUUGUGCAAUAUUCCCUGGAGCUGACAGCAGCCAGGUUCGGUCUGGAGCUGGACCAUCUGAAGGCCAUGCUGGCCAAGAGCCGGGAGCGGCUGUCAGAGGUCCGCACCCAGCGACCACGGCCCCAUCUGGACUCCAAGAUGCUGGCAUCCUGGAACGGGCUGAUGAUCUCGGGCUUUGCUCAGAGCGGGGCCAUCCUUGGCAAGGAGGAGUACGUCAGCCGGGCCAUGCGUGCUGCUGACUUCCUGCGAAGCCACUUGUUUGAUGCCAGCACUGGGCGCCUCCUUCGCAGCUGCUACCGGGGCAAAGACAACAUAAUAGAGCAGAGCACCGUGCCCAUCCAGGGCUUCCUGGAGGAUUAUGUCUUUGUGAUCCAGGCCCUCUUUGACCUGUAUGAGGCCUCGCUGAACCCGAGCUGGCUGGAAUGGGCCGUGCAGCUCCAGCACAAGCAGGAUGAGCUCUUCUGGGACAACAAAGGCUUUGCCUAUUUCUCCAGUGAGGCUGGAGACUCCUCACUGCUCCUCCGCUUGAAGGAUGACCAAGAUGGGGCAGAGCCCAAUGCCAACUCCGUCGCUGUCACUAACCUGCUCAGGGCAGCCUGUUACUCCGGCCAUAUGGACUGGGUGGAGAAAGCUGGACAGAUCCUGGCAGCCUUUUCAGAGAGGCUGCUGAAGAUCCCUGUGGCUCUGCCAGAGAUGGCUCGAGCCACUGCAGCCUUUCACCGCACCCUGAAACAGGUCGUUAUCUGCGGGGACCCAGAAGGAGACGACACUAAAGAGCUGCUGCGCUGCAUCCACUCCAUCUUCUCUCCAAACAAGGCGCUGAUGCUGGCGGACGGAGACAGCACCGGGUUCCUGUACUGCCAUUUGCCCUUCCUCUCCUCUCUGGAAAAGAAAGAUGGAAAAGCCACUGCAUAUCUCUGUGAAAACUUUGCCUGCUCUCUGCCUGUCACCUCCACCCAGGAGCUGCGCAAGCUGCUGCUGCUAAAGCAACAAAUCAAGGGCAGAUCCCAGCGUUAAUGUUCACUUCAGGUUGCGAAGAAGUCAGACAAGUAAACUAUUUGGGUUCCUAUAGCAACACCAGGUAACAUUUCUGAAAAGCCCCCGAGUGACUUAGGAGCUAAGCCAGUUUGAAAAUGUUACCCUUCAGCACAGCUACCCAUUCUGAUGUGGUAUUUUUCCAUGACUGGAUUGCUUGUAAAAUACAUGACUUAAUAUGCAGUGCAGGCAAGGUUGCUGAUUGGACAUGGCUGAUGGGACAUAGCUGCUGAAGCAUGAAUGCAAUGAGAACCUGGAGCGUUUGCAUCCAGGUAAAUACUAGUGCUGUGGUAGCUUUGCAAGGUAUGAAUGUGGAUGAUGUAGAUGGGUGCCAAAGGUUGCCUCCACCCCCACCAUGUCCCAGCUCUAAUUGGGGGCUGGUAAUUUGGGCAGGGGAGUCAAAGGUGGCCUGAACCAACCUAGCCCUAUCUGCCCCUGGGAGGACCUUUGACCCUGCAGUAGAACUUGGGGUUUGCUAACUCUUUUCCUUGAGUGUGCAUGUACACAGACAUACUCUUGCUGCCUCCUGUGUGCCAUCACCAGACAGAUUUUGGCUCUUUGCAGAGUGACAGAUGAGUGUGCAUGACAUUUGCUGAUUUAUUUUCCUUUCUGAUUGGCCGAAGCAGUCCCAUGUGACUUAAGCACCAGGCUGCAGCUUAUCUAGUUGCUCACUGCUCUACUAGAUGGUUCCCAACUCUUGUUAAGAAGAGGUAUGCCUGAUCUAAUUUGCUCUAUUAUAAUUGGGAUGGGACUGGUUUCACCCUCCUGGCUCUGACAGACCCUGGAACCAAAAACUAACCUUGACUUUGAACCUUACUGCAUCCUGGUUGGAAACCUCCUGUCUCUUAUUUAGCCUUUUUAAGCAGGUGCUAAGGCUACAUGUAUAGUCAUGCAGGUACGUGGUGUAUGCAAGAGAUGAUGCAGAGACGCUACAGUCUAGGGUUAUAUUGGGAGUGGGAAAUGAAGCAGGAAUUUGGUGCAAUAAAUCAUUAUGGCAACACAAAGCAGCUGUGUUAGGUAAGCUGGACCAUACCCUGAGCUGGGGGCCUUGCUGCACUCCAGCAGGGCUAAUCAGUUCUGUUUCUGUUCGAGUCACUUGGAACAGGGCGGCACAGGGGAGGUGACAUGGAGGUUGUCCCUUGGUGUUUUAGUUUGCCAGGCUCUAUGCCAUGGUCCAAGCAAUGCAGUCAUUUCAGAGAGCUUUUGCUUCUUGAUUGCCAGUGCUCUGGGGGCGGUAAUGAAGUCGGGUCCUAGUGCUUCGCUUAGGAAAUGUUUGCAAUGCUGAAAACGAAGCACUUUUGAUGGAGCAUUGCAGACUGCUGAAGAGCUUACAUUCAGAAACAUAGGUAUGCCGCUUCAUGGGAAGCAGGGUUCAGGGAUUUUCUGCCCUCUGGUUUCACUCUGAGCUGGGCUUCCUGAGCGCACUACGUCUGCUGCAAGCCACCUGGCAUCUUGCUGAGCUGCUGCAGUGCUUCAUGGAGGAUGUUGUUCAGCUGGGGAGCCAGCUCCUAGAGCAGUGGUUCUCAGCCUCGGUAGACUCAAGGUCCCCCUUGGAAAAUGCCAGCUCUUGUUUUUUGACUGAGACAAAAUAAUAGAGCAAUUUUUCUGUUGCAGAGAACUCAGAUCCCAGCAGGUGAGAAUGCUUUUAACACUAUAGAUUCCUAUUUGAAAUCUCUGGGUUUCUCCUAUGCAUCAUAUUUGCACCACUAUCCAUGCUAACACUGUAUGGUACCCCGUGGCACUCUUGAAAGGAUCUCAAGGCACCCUAGGGUGGUGUGGCACUCUGGUUGAGAGUGGCCAUCCUAGAGGAGAAUGGCAGCACAAGGCACUGGGCCUUCCAUCCCUGUGAUGCUCCUCGGUGGCAUUUUCAGAUUAAAUUUUCUUCAGAUUUUGGAUCUUAGGUGUUCCAAUGGAAAGUUAUUUUACAUGGAAAACAGACCUGUCUUGUGAAGGAGAAUAUGAAGCAGAAACCCCAAAUUUUCACCACUGGUCAGCUGUUUCAACUGAAAAUAAUAAGAGAUGAAGCUGAUCUGACACCCAAUGUGCCACAGACCUCAGAGGGGGCAGGAUGAAGCAGAGGAAGCUGGCAGUGAAGCUGGCAGUGCAGCCACAGCUCAGUGCCUGAGUCUCUGCGUGAUCAAACUAUCCCAAAGGGGACACAGUGCAACUCGGCUAUGUCACAGUUCACUGGCUGGGGAGUUGGCUCAGACCCAGGUCGGACCCAGAGAGUGGUAGUUGAUGGAAGUCAAUCAUUGUGGUGUGCUGCGACCAGUGGGGUCCCCCAAGGCUCUGUCCUUGGGCCUGUACUCUUUAACAUCUUCAUUAAUGAUGUGGAUAUUGGUAUCAGAAGCGGACUGGCCAAGUUUGCCGAUGACACCAAACUUCAGGGUAAAGUGUCCAUACCUGAGGACAAGUUGGUGAUCCAGGCUGACCUUGACAGGCUCAGAACAUGGGCGGACGAAAACUUGAUGGCAUUCAACUCCGAAAAAUGCAAGGUACUCCACCUUGGGAAGAAAAACCCACUGCAUGCUUAUAGGCUUGGCAGUGCUACGCUUGCUAGCACCGCAGCCGAAAGGGGCUUGGGGGUCAUGGUUGAUCACAAGAUGAAUAUGAGCUACCAAUGCGACGUCGCAACAGGUAAAGUGAGCAAAACUCUGGCUUGCAUCCAUAGAUGCUUCUCAAGCAAAUCCCAGGAUGUCAUCCUCCCACUGUACUCGGCCUUGGUGAGGCCGCAGCUGGAGUACUGCAUCCAAGUCGGCUCCACAAUUUAAAAAAGAUGUGGAGAAGCUUGAUAGAGUGCAGAGGAGAGCCACGCACAUGCUCAGAGGUCAGGAAAACAGGCCUUAGGAUGAGAGGCGGAGAGCCAUGGGACUCUUCAGCCUGAAGAAGCACAGGCUCAGGGGUGACCUAGUGGCCACCUAUAAGUAUAUAAGGGGUGCUCACCAGGAUCUGGGGGAACGCCUGUUCACCAGAGCACCCCAAGGGACGACAAGAUCAAAUGGUUACAAACUCCUCCAAGACCGUUUCAGACUGGACAUAAGGAAGAACUUCUUUACUGUCCGAGCCCCCAAGGCCUGGAACGGACUGUCGCCAGAGGUGGUGCAAGCACCUACUCUGGACUCCUUUAAGAAAUGUUUGGAUGCUUAUCUUGCUGGGAUCCUUUGACCCCUGCUGUCUUCCUGCCCCUGGGGCAGGGGGCUGGACUCGAUGGUCUUCUGAGGUCCCUUCCAGCCCAAAUGUCUAUGAAAUCAUCUCAGCAGGAGUUUUUAUGAGACCAACACCAGCAUUAUGGCAGCUCUGGAUUCAGAGUUCAUUAAAAACUGCUCACAUUAUUUACUGCACAUAGAUCUGAGGGAGACAUUUUUAAUAAUCUCUUCCAUCCAGGCAGAGACGGGAUGAUGUCUGUAAUGACAUGAGAUCCCUUUGGAGGAAUGUGAACUUUAUUCUCGCCCUCCUUCCCCCUUUCUGUUUGCAAACAGGCAAGCACAGUGCUUUCAAAGUCUCUCUGAUAUUGUCAGGCUCCCUUUGGAAAACAGGCUGCUUUUCCCCCCUUGUUUCCUCUGCCAACGAGAGAUGUUGUAAUCUGGAGGCGUGAAUGCAGGGGAAACCAGAGCUUUGUACUGCCUCUUGCCAGCUGGUUGUUUUAAGAGCUUUCCAGUGGGAUAUGCCAGGAAUCGGGGGGUAACUGGCCAGGAGACAUGUGUUUGAAGUCGAAGAGGAAUUUUGCACCUCAUCUUGUGAAUACUUGCUUCGCCUGUAGAAGAGAUGGGGGGGUGGGGAUUAGGAAGAGGCCAAAGGGGUUUUUUGAGAUUCCAUCAGAAAAUUGCUGGCACUGGCAAAUGGCUGAUCUCUCUUCUGCCUCCGCACCUUUGUCCUUUGGAAGUAAUCUGCUCUCAGGCAGCCUCCUGCUUUCAAGCUCCACCGUGGCUAGAGCGGGUGGUCGCGUGGGAUGGGAGCGAAGGCACUCUCAGAGCAACUCAACAUGCAGCGCAUCAGAGUGGUUUGGAGGAAUUGGUUAGACGGAGGGAGGCGUUUGUUGAUGGCUGUUUAGGGGGAAGCCCAGAUACCUUGAGCUUGUUUUCUGGGGACGGGCCCAAAGCACAGGCCCUUUGAGCUUGCCAUGGGGAAGCAUCUGGCCUUCUCACACCAUAUAAGAUACACUUGCUUCUCCGGUCUCUCAUGAGCUGACCACUUCACAUCAAGCUGGUGUUGCGUUGCAGCACACGGUGCUGGCUGCUGGACUCAGUGGACCCAUGCAACACUGCUUCUGUCGGGUUUGGCACCAGGAUCGUGCCUGUUCCUGAGCUCCCCUCCUUGCCCUGGAGGAGAGGUCCAGGUUGGCAGUGGGAGCACUGUCUGAACCCUCUCUUCAAUCACGUGCUGCUACCUCUUCCAGGUCACUCUGGCUGCCCUAGUCCCUCUCACGCGCUGUCUUGUUGAAUGCAGCCUCUCCAGAAGCUGCCAUCGGGUAGGAGCCUGCUGUAAACAAGCUGUCAGGUUUAAUUGGGCUGACCUGCUUAUAGAAGAAAAGAAAUCUCCUUAAUAAAUAAAUAAAACCCAGUUGUGGCAUCGUGGCUCUGGCAGCUACCACCCCCUCCUCCCCUUCCCAUUGGCAUGCUGUUUCCAGUGCGGGCUGCAAGCCUUUCCGAUCUGCUUGCUGUGGGGGGUUAAUGCCCUGACCUUCUGGGAUUAUUUUUUUGUUUGUGUUCUUCCCUUAACAUUUAAAGGUUUCCAGUGACUUGCUCUAGCCUGUGCUGCUUUGUCCUUUCAGUUCAUUAGCAGAGGAGUCCCAAGAGAAAUGAGUGUUUUUGGACCAUUCUUUCCCACAAGAGAGAGUCAAACCCAAAGAUGGGAAGAUCCUCAAUUCAGCUCUGGAUUUUAGAUCUGUUCCGGGGUGACCCUCUUCUCCUCGGAUCCGGGCUCCACAAUUCAAGAAGGACGUGGAGAAGCUUGAGAGAGCCAUGUGCACGCUCAGAGGGCAGGAGAACAGGCCUUGUGAAGAGAGGCAGAGAGCCAGGGGACUCUUCAGCCUGGAGAAGCGCAGGCUCAGGGGGGACCUGGUGGCUACCUAUGAAGACGUCAGCGUCAGCACCAGAAAGUCUCAUCCUCCAGCUAGACGCCACUGCAGCAAUAGGAGUUCCCAGGCACAGCUGUCAGGUUCGCCACUGCCGAAGGGCUGGGGUGUUCCCGUGGGGCGCUGCUGUGAGUGCAGAGCGUGGAGCUGGCAUUGCUGGAGAGGCAUGAAAGACCCAGCAUCCUGCAGUCAGGACAAGAGGCAUGACCAAGCCAGAAGGGGCAGGAGGAGUCCCAGCAGCUGGUGCUGGAUGAGGAAUGGACAUCCCAUGGCACCGGCAGUGCUGGGAGGGCUUCCCAAAGUGGGCAUGUGGGAUACAUGAGGCCUCGCAACUUUGAGACGAAUCUUUAGUGGGAAGUAUCUCCUGAGAAGCGGGCGCUGCUGGGAGGAAGCUCCCUCCACAGGAAAGGGAGGCAUGGCAAGGGGUGUCAAGCCUCUGUGCCCGCCAAUGCCGCUGCCACCAUCUGCAUUCCCGGAGCCAUGCCCCUCUGACCCAAGAGACGGAGCAGCCGCAGAAGCAAGAAGUUAAACUCGCACCAAGACGCUUCCUUCCUCAUUACAUUUCCUGCCAGUAACUCACCAAUUUCCCUGCAAAUUACGUUGAUUUGCUGAAACUGUUGUUUUCCACCCCUUGCUUGUCUGCACAAUUAAAUUAAGGUUUUGUUGACAGCCGCGUGGACAUGACAAGAAGCAGCGAUGUGAAAAGUUUCUGCUCAGUGACUCACAUGCUGAUUGUGUUCUGUUUGUAAUGGGGCUUGUGGCCUCUCCUGGGACUCGGGGCCACCGUUCCCAGCGUAUGCCGCGUGUGGGUUUCAGACUGUUCAUGAGCGUAUCAUCGGGGUAACGCAUACAGGGGCCGUUCAAGUUUAGCAGGGCCACAGCUGUAAUCUAAAUGAUCCUUGUUCAGAGGCACAUUGGUUUCACUAUCCAUCACUCAGAUCAUGAAACCAAUGGGGGUCUUUUCUGAGCAAAGGACCAGCACUUUGGAGGCAUUCAAACUGCUGGAUUGCAGAGAGGCAUCCAGUGGGAUUUUCCAAAUGACUGAAGAGUCCAUAUGUGACAGGAGACAGACUAUGGCCCAUGGUCCCUCAUGAGAAAAGGUGCCAGCACAGCCAUCUAGCAACGUUACAGUCGCUUAAAACAUUCAGGGCCACAAAGCCAUUCCACAUAGCCUGUUUUAAUAAGAGUGGCAUAAUGUCUGAUUCAGAAGGAUUUUUAUUUAAAUAAGAGAGGAACAUUGCAAUGUGAAACACUGUUUAUUUAACAGAAGGACAUGCUAUAGUGUAUUAUAUUUUUAUAACAGGGAACACUGUAGUAUCUUUACUAUUAUAAUACACUGUUUUUUGAAGGGCAGAAUAUCGAAGUGUGCGCCAUACUAGUUUGUUAAAUAAAUUUACCUUUUCUGUCCCCAUUUGUUGGGUUUUUUGCACAUUUUUUUUUCCAUCUAGCCUUCCUCUGUGAACCUAUUUGGAGAAAAAGGAGUGUUCAAUGCUCUCUUCAGGGCUGGAAUAAAAGAAUCAGGCCAGGUAUUUUUCAGGAAGAAUGGUUCUCAGACUGCAGUCCCUGCUACUUUGGGAGUGUGGAGAGCUGCUCACAUGUUUCAACCCCCUUCCCUGUGUUUACAGCUGCUAAAUUAUGUCAACGGAGGCUAAACAUGCAUGAAAUGAAUCCCUGACUUAUUUCUCCCUGCAAACCAUUGCUGUAGCUGUCACCUGGAACUGCAAAGAGGUGAGAAGGUAACGGUGUUGCCCGCUGUCUUGAUUUUUAUUGUUUGGGGGAUAUUUGGUGUUGGUCUUGAAUCCCCAACUCCUGGAAUCGUGGGAAUCUGCUUCCUCGUGCAAAAAGUCACUGUUGUGGUGCCAAGGACAAGCAUGACAACUGUAACAGCUCAGAUAGCAAAGAAAAGAAAGCCAACGCAUAUUAAAAUCUCAUGAUUUAAUUUUGAA
Alligator mississippiensis (American alligator) is the source of this 9420-nucleotide RNA transcript. It is a transcript of the gene named spermatogenesis associated 20, with no coding region annotated. The transcript is spliced from 18 exons. NCBI's taxonomy places the organism in Eukaryota, Metazoa, Chordata, Crocodylia, Alligatoridae. The record is from RefSeq and is a predicted model, not a curated record.